RNAcentral lists this ribosomal RNA (619 nucleotides) under uncultured archaeon. RNAcentral's name for it is "bacterial SSU rRNA". It matches the Rfam family "Bacterial small subunit ribosomal RNA", at positions 374 to 990 of the family's 1533-position model. The record is from RNAcentral.
GGGGGCACCUGAUCAGCAAUGCCGCGUGAGUGAAGAAGGCCUUCGGGUUGUAAAGCUCUUUUGUCAGGGAAGAAACAGCAGCUCUAACACAGUCUGCGAAUGACGGUACCUGAAGAAUAAGCACCGGCUAACUACGUGCCAGCAGCCGCGGUAAUACGUAGGGUGCGAGCGUUAAUCGGAAUUACUGGGCGUAAAGCGUGCGCAGGCGGUUAUACAAGACAGGCGUGAAAUCCCCGGGCUUAACCUGGGAAUGGCGUCUGUGACUGUAUAGCUAGAGUGUGUCAGAGGGGGGUGGAAUUCCACGUGUAGCAGUGAAAUGCGUAGAUAUGUGGAGGAACACCAAUGGCGAAGGCAGCCCCCUGGGAUAACACUGACGCUCAUGCACGAAAGCGUGGGGAGCAAACAGGAUUAGAUACCCUGGUAGUCCACGCCCUAAACGAUGCUGACUAGUUGUUGGGAAUCUACAUUCUCAGUAACGUAGCUAACGCGUGAAGUCAGCCGCCUGGGGAGUACGGUCGCAAGAUUAAAACUCAAAGGAAUUGACGGGGACCCGCACAAGCGGUGGAUGAUGUGGAUUAAUUCGAUGCAGCGCGAAAAACUUUACUAACCUUGACAUGUC